RNAcentral lists this ribosomal RNA (448 nucleotides) under uncultured bacterium. Its description in RNAcentral is "SSU rRNA". It matches the Rfam family "Bacterial small subunit ribosomal RNA", at positions 26 to 518 of the family's 1533-position model. The record is from RNAcentral.
AGAGCGAACGCUGGCGGCAGGCUUAACACAUGCAAGUCGAGCGGGCGUAGCAAUACGUCAGCGGCAGACGGGUGAGUAACGCGUGGGAACGUACCUUUUGGCUCGGAACAACACAGGGAAACUUGUGCUAAUACCGGAUAAGCCCUUACGGGGAAAGAUUUAUCGCCAAAAGAUCGGCCCGCGUCUGAUUAGCUAGUUGGUGAGGUAACGGCUCACCAAGGCGACGAUCAGUAGCUGGUCUGAGAGGAUGAUCAGCCACAUUGGGACUGAGACACGGCCCAAACUCCUACGGGAGGCAGCAGUGGGAAUAUUGGACAAUGGGCGCAAGCCUGAUCCAGCCAUGCCGCGUGAGUGAUGAAGGCCCUAGGGUUGUAAAGCUCUUUUGUGCGGGAAGAUAAUGACGGUACCGCAAGAAUAAGCCCCGGACUAACUUCGCGCCAGCAGCCGC